GUUUCAUUUACUAUUGAUUUUUGUGAACUAUGUCCUCCAUAGUAAAAUCACAGUUGUCUCUCUUUGUAAUGUCAGCAAAUGCGAUGACACGAGUCGAUAGAGAAAGAAAGCACGCAAAUAUGUUUCAGCGCAUGUGGAUUCAUUGUCUAACGAGGAUAGCAUUCAUCAAAUGCUGAUGGUAAAAUAGUUUUUGCAUCUUGUGUACCCAAAAUUUGCUCAUUAUUUAUGCGACCACAAACAAUUGGAAAUUAUCCGAAUCGAGGCAGUCGACAAGGGUUUCCAUCUUGCCCUCUUUCCUUUGUUAUCUAGUCAUUUGGAAAUAAUUAUCAUCUGUAUAGAUUUACCACAAGAUAUAGUAGGGCUUGGUGGAAUUUUUCGGCGAAUUUGUCGAUUUGCCGAUUCAUAGAUGCAAAAGCUUUAAUCUUAGUGUUGACAGGUGAACAAGGAAAUAAAACCCAUAGGCUAUGCCAUAGGACGUACUUUCUAUUAUGACGCCUUUGCUACUUAGUUAUGCACACAUUUAAAUCCAUAUCAGUAAAAGAGAUGAUAUAUUAAAAUUGUUUUCAAUGAUUUCAGUACGAAAAUGUAUGAAAUAAUAGAAAUUUACGGCAUGCACAUAGGGGAAAAGAUUGAACAGUUGAAAUAAAAAAAAUAAAAAUAAAAAAUCAGAAAAUUUAUUUACUUGCGAAACUUGGUGAUACAUACAAAUUGUGUUGUUUUCUAUCAAUAUGCCUUUGAAUUAAUGUCAAAAAUAAUUAUCUCAAGCGAAAACUACAGGAAAAUUGUUACUGUUCAGAGAAAUAACAAAUUUUUCCAAUAAAUUAUAUAAAACAUGAUAAAAGACAAUAACAUACAAAUAAAUCAUUUUGGACCAGAAAAGUGAUCCCAAACCCAUAUAGAGAUUCAUAUAUAUAUUAGCCUUUCCAAGCUAUGCAAGAGUUGUGUCCUUUUGUCUGUCAAAAUUAUUACGGUAUUGACGUUAUUCAGUUGAGCCGAACUGCAGGAUUCUCAAAAUAUUUCUCUGAUUCGACUGACUUCGAGAAAACGAGCGUGAAAAGAUGUCCUACAUUGUCAUCAGCCAGAGUACUCUGGUCUGUUGGAAAUUUUCCUAUUUUUAUUAUUAAAAUGAGUGACUGGUGAAAAAUAAUGUUCUUCCAAUUCUAGAACCAAUGCAUACAAACAUCAUAAACUUAGUCUUCUGUGCUAUUAUCAUUUUGUGAAUUUAUCAUUUUUUUUGUGUAAAUUUGGUAUAAUUGUCAAUUUUUUUUCAAUCGGUAAGUGUUGUUGUGAAAAUAUGGCAGGUAAUUAAAGCUCGUGCUUUGAAACCGAAGUUUAACGAUUGUCACCUGUUUGUCAACAAUCGACUAAAAAUCAACAAAAAGCAUGGAAAUUGAGCACGUGUUUAACAUGUAAAUUCAGAUAAUAGUCUAUUUUAAGGACAUCCAUGCGUAUUGCGAUCACUGGGUUUUUCCGAGAUGGGUCACACUGAGGUCACUUUGCAUAUGGAAAAUAUGUCGGGGGGGGGGGGGGGGGGGGGAAUUGCUUCAUGGAAGGAAGCAAUUAAAAUAAAGUAAACUUCUUCUAAAUAUGAAUAAAUUAAAGAAUUUUUUUCAGAAAAAAGUAUAUAUGUACAUAAGUUUUAUAAUGAAAACUAUCCAUUGACACAUGAUUGAGUUAUAAAAAAACAUAUGCAUUAUUUUUUUUAAUUUGAGGUUUCUUAUGACUUUAAUUCAAGUGUUGUUUGGAAAUUUGUUAAAGAUAUAUUGGGCUUAGACAAUCCCCUUGAUGUACAAAUUGCAAAAGCUCUUUUCGCAUGUAAAGGAGUGCUUUUAAUUGUUUACACACACUGUAUUCAUUACAAAAUGUGACAAUUCAUUCCAUCAUGUGACAGGCAUUGUCACACAUUCUUGUGUAAAUGAUAUAGAUUUUUAGAUUUUGUUUCGCCCUCUACAAACUUGCUUUAUAGGUGAAACUUGGGCAUGCUGUUUCCUGCAGCACCAACAAUGAAUUUAAGUUCUUGGGUAAGUUAGUUCAAGGUGAACCACUAAUACAUGUAUAUGCCAAUAUUGUCAUCCUGAUCCUGGCUAUUGUUUUGUCAGAUUCCCUUAUAUCAUGUGAGAUAAGAAUUUGCAGCAAUUUUUUAAUUGACUGCUAGUAUUUUAUGGAAAAGGCAGUUGAAAUUAUUUUUGUACACACAUUCAAACAUUUAUUUAAAUCUUGAAUUAAUUUAACUACUUAUAGAUUAUCGUUGAUCAUCUCAACGAGAUUUAUUUUCUUGCUUGAGCUGGGAUGGCAAAAGCAAGAAAAGCAUUCGAGUUGAGUUGACCAAUGAUAAUCUGUUUAUCGCUAUUUUAACUAUGACAACAUUGUCAAUUUCAUUAGCAACGCCACAUGCCUCCUUAGUUUCUAGCGUAGCAUGAUAUGAAAAGUUUUCACAAAAAAAGAUCAAAGGAAAAAUGUGCAAAAUAGCAAUAAUAAGAAAAUACUUCAUCACAAGUCAAUAUAAAUUUUUAUCUAAAACAUGGAUUGGUACUGAAAUGUUUAUCUGAUCUAACAUUUGUCUAAACUUCUUUUUUUUUCUGAUAGAAUAAAAUUUAGUGGUCUGCAAUCAUAUGACAACUAACUUUAGUAGAGACUUAUAUUGCAUGAUAAUAAUCAUGAUAAUCAGUUUUAUAUGAGAAUUCACUGUCUUUAUAUAUCAUGAAUAAAAAAAAAUUAAACAAUGAGGGACACAAAAAAUCUCCUUGUUUUACUCAACUUCAUAUUUCAAAAACUAAGUACUGAUUUUGCAAUUUGAUGGCCAUGAGUUUACCAACAUAACAUUCUUUAUUUUUUUUAAACAACUGAAUUUUGGAAUAAAAAAAAAAUAAAGCCUUGUUUACAAAGCCCACACUUCUUGAAAAGUGGUGGUCCAAGGGUUUUGACCACCACAUUUUCAAAGGACCACCACAGUUUUGGUCUUUUGCAAUAAAAUUAAAAUUCAGGACCAGCAGAUUUCUUUCAAAGAACACCAUGAAAAAGAAAAUUUUCAAGAACUAUGAGAACCAGUUACCUAAGCUUAGUAAUUGUUCAAGAUUAUCCUUUAAGUAAUGAUAUUUAUUAUAUACGGUGGCAGAUCCAGGGGGAGGGUUCCUGGGGUUGGAACCCCCCCUUUUUUGGACAAUUACCUUGAUCAAUGCAUUUGAAUGGGGACACAUAGUUUGAACCCCCCCUUUUUGUCCUGUGUUUGGAACACCCCCUUUUUAAAAUGGUUGGAUCCACCCCUGAUAUAGAAAGAGAGAGAGAGAUGUGGAUACCAUUGGCUUAGGUGUUUUGAGAUUGCUCGCCUUGAUGAGACAUUGGUGAACAUGCUUUUCAGGUGUUGAGGUUUUCAAAGUCAACAUUUUAGUAUUCAUUUUUAUACGAGGGCAAAAAAUUGCUAUCAUGACUAUAUCUUUAUCUGAAGACAUUUUGUUUCCUGACAAUAACUUAAGUAUAUUAAUGUGAAUUGAUCUCUAUGAAAUUAACCACAAGGUUCAAUAGCACAAAAGGAAGGUUGUGAUUGAUUUUUGGGGUUAUGGUCUAACCUGUUUAGGAAUUAGGGUUUAAAAAAGGAGCCAAAAAUUGGCAUUUUCAAAACUUUUUCUAGUUUCCAGACAGUAACAUGUGUAUACUGCACGGAUCUCUAUGAAAUUGAAACGCAAGGUUCCCAGCGGCGGAUCCAGCCAUUUUAAAAUGGGGGGUUCCCAACCCAGAGUUAGGGGGGGGGGGGUUCCAGCUAUAUGCUCCCAUUCAAAUGGAUACGUCAAUGGUUUCUCACCUCAAAAGAAUGUAGGUUUGACUUUGUGGGUUAUGGCUAAAACCAAAUAGGAGUAAGAGGUAAAAAGGGGGAACAUAGACAGCUAUCUACAGCUAUCUAUAGUUAAAAAAAAAAUAAACAAAAGACAGAGGACAACAUUUGUGACAUGUUACAAAAUUUCCAUUUUCAUUAUUAUUUGGCAAUCCAAAAAAAAAAUUCUCUACACUUGCUCAUUAUGCUUGUUCGCUGCGAGGGAGCUCACUACAUAAUAUAUAAUAUGGAGACAAAAGGGAUUUAGAGGUCAGCAAACAGUCUUUGACAUUUAUAUUUUGUUUAUUUGAAUUUAGAACAUGUAGAAUUGAUCAAGUUAAUUAACAUGAUUAAGAUGAAGAAAUCUAAUUUUAUAUUUUGCAGGUUGUCACAAUUCUCAGAAUAGCUUCAAGAAUCUGCACCAUGAAGUAGCACACAAGUUUUAAAUGGUGAGUCAAAU
This 4268-nucleotide long non-coding RNA is filed under the name Mytilus galloprovincialis (Mediterranean mussel). Lineage: Eukaryota; Metazoa; Mollusca; Bivalvia; Mytilida; Mytilidae. The record is from RNAcentral.